This 707-nucleotide long non-coding RNA is filed under the name Rattus norvegicus (Norway rat). Its description in RNAcentral is "long non-coding RNA NONRATT015083". Lineage: Eukaryota; Metazoa; Chordata; Mammalia; Rodentia; Muridae. The record is from RNAcentral.
GCCAGCCUAAGCCGAGAUGGCGAACUGGAGCAUCUCGAAGCUGCGCUCCUGCUUGCCUUCCCCACGUUCCUGGUGGAGAGGGUGGCCUCCAGCUCUUGUUCACAGCUGCUGCUGUGCAGAAGACGCCUCAGCUGAUUCCACCCGCCAGAGCCGCCACUGCUGGGAGUGCUUUCCCUUUGCUUCAUUUUCAGCCCAAGCAUGAAUUCAAGCCCCUGCCCUUACCUGUAGGAAGAAUUCCAGGAGCUCCUUUCAGGCCCCAGGCCCAACCAAAAGAGGCUUGGGGCCUGUCUGACUCUUGUCAAUCUCCCGUGUCUCAGAGAAUGGUGCAUACCAUGCCACCAUCUCCUUCAGGUUCAAGCCAGUACUAUAAUGCUCAGGCCAUGAGAAAAGCCGAGGCUGUGCUCCCAGGCAUCCCCAAGCAUGAGAACUUGGAUCAGUGCACUGGGCAAGAGUCCGUGACACCGCAGCAGGAUUCCUCAGUGUUUAUAAAGCCAGGAAGUGUAUUCGAUGUUACACCAAGGCCCCCUGAGACGGCUCUUCAGAAUUCUUUUGGACUUCCUUUAUUACACCUUCAGUUUAAGCCUUCUUAUGUAUUCUCCAUGCCAUCGAGAGCGGCAUUAGGUAGCUUUCCCUCAGUACCUGGCACAGAAGGAACAAAACAUCCUCAACUAUCAUUACUUCAUCCAUGCUUGCCGCCAGAGAAUACG